UUCCAGACUCCUACGGGAGGCAGCAGUGGGGAAUAUUGCACAAUGGGGGAAACCCUGAUGCAGCGACGCCGCGUGAGUGAAGAAGUAUUUCGGUAUGUAAAGCUCUAUCAGCAGGAAAGAAAAUGACGGUACCUGACUAAGAAGCCCCGGCUAACUACGUGCCAGCAGCCGCGGUAAUACGUAGGGGGCAAGCGUUAUCCGGAUUUACUGGGUGUAAAGGGAGCGUAGACGGCCGUGCAAGUCUGAUGUGAAAACCCGGGGCUCAACCCCGGGGCUGCAUUGGAAACUGCAUGGCUGGAGUGUCGGAGAGGCAAGUGGAAUUCCUAGUGUAGCGGUGAAAUGCGUAGAUAUUAGGAGGAACACCAGUGGCGAAGGCGGCUUACUGGACUGUAACUGACGUUGAGGCUCGAAAGCGUGGGGAGCAAACAGGAUUAGAUACCCUGGUA
RNAcentral lists this ribosomal RNA (446 nucleotides) under uncultured bacterium. Its description in RNAcentral is "bacterial SSU rRNA". It matches the Rfam family "Bacterial small subunit ribosomal RNA", at positions 329 to 792 of the family's 1533-position model. The record is from RNAcentral.